This is a long non-coding RNA of Dreissena polymorpha, 675 nucleotides long. RefSeq lists it as uncharacterized. The record is from RefSeq and is a predicted model, not a curated record. The transcript is spliced from 4 exons. NCBI's taxonomy places the organism in Eukaryota, Metazoa, Mollusca, Bivalvia, Myida, Dreissenidae.
AGUAAUAUUUCAAGGCGACGUGUGAAUGGCACUUUGAGCGUGUUUGAGCUGCGUGCCUUUGUUGAAGCCGGCGGGCUUGUAUGGCAGGUAACAGUCCAUACAUUUGAUACCGUCAGGGCUGCCGCCACACUCGUACUGUCCAGGCUUGCAGUGGGCGAUACCGGUAUCCAAGCAACCUGGAAUACUCGAGGACUAAAUCAAAACAUCAAUACAUUCCACCCUAAGACGCGUAUGACUUACUCUCACAACAAUACCCCGGUCUCCAGGCGCUGCAUUGACAGCCAUCGUUGUAUAGGUACCCGUUGUAGCAGACCUGGUUACACGGCUUUGACUCUGUCCUGUGGCCAUGAAGACACGUGACCACCUCCGCAACUUUCACUGCAUCAGCUCCACCAGUCCCAGGAGGUACAGGCUGACGCUUAUGCAUGCAGCUGUGGGAAUCAGUCUCCGGAAGAGACGAAAGGCGUGGCUGCUUUUAUAGUUACUUACGAGCGGAACUCGUGUAGGCAUACAGUUUGCCUGGUGACGUUGUAGACUACGUUGUAUGAUGGUUGUAACGAUGACACAGCUUUUGUUUGUAUUUAUGCUUGUAUAUAUGUUAUAUGUAUAUUGGUAUGGUAAUGACAAUCAGUAUGUUUAAGCUAUUAUUAAAGACAGUGUACAGCUUUUUCACUA